RNAcentral lists this long non-coding RNA (391 nucleotides) under Mytilus galloprovincialis (Mediterranean mussel). Lineage: Eukaryota; Metazoa; Mollusca; Bivalvia; Mytilida; Mytilidae. The record is from RNAcentral.
GCCGAUAUAUCUUCGUCUGUGCCUCAUGAUGUACUGACAAUACUUCCAAGGUAAGUGAAUUGUUGUACAUCUUCAACAGUAGAGUCGUUGAUCUUAAGACAAUCUUGUUGGUUCGUAUUUAGCCUCAUUGAUUUUGUUUUCUGGGUUUUGAUGUAUAGGCCUGUUUGUUUUGCUGCUGUUUCAAGACUUUUGGUCUGAUGUUGUGCAUCUUGGAAGCGAUGGGAUAAUAUACAUAUGUCAUCAGCAAAUUUUAGGUCUUCUAGACGUGUUGUGAGAGUUCAUCCAAUGCCUUUCGGAUCUUUGUAGGCUGUUUUCCCAACCAAGUCAACUACUAUCAGGAAAAGGAGAGGAGAGAGAAAACAUCCUUGAAGUACCCCAGUUGUAACAGGGA